GCUCAGCGUGACUCCAGCGAACGUUUGUGUGACUCAGUCGCGCUCUGAAGCUGGUCCGAGCCAGACCUGUGAUACCGCGCUCCGUAACGCUGCCAGGGUUCGACACUGACUCACGCGCACCUGGCACCUACGCAAAGCUUUCGUGUGUCAAGUGAUGACAGCGGGCCAGCGCACCGGGCGAGAAGGGUGACGCAACCCUCAAAACCUCCUCGUUACAACCCUACUAGUUAAUAAGGCUAGUGAGACAACACCAUGGCAUGAGGGGCCGGCCGGUAUCUUGAACAGCCCCCUCCCACGCCUCCUUCCGGUUCCUCCUCCUCCUGCACCCCCUCCCCCCUUUCCACUUCCCCCUCCAAGAACUCGGGCUCGCAAAGGAAGAAUUGGAAUUAAGAUUGAAAAUAAAGAGGAGUCGGUGAGAAUCACCCAAAAUAGAAGAAAAAAAAAAUAUGACAGCGUGGCGGACAGGACGCCAAACACUGUCAUGAGCGAACACUGACUUUUCAAUGGUGACAAGUGACACCUACACAGGAAGCCUUGAACGCCGGAUGAUGAAGGGGUGCCAUUAAGUGCCAUAUGUACUGGCGACUCGGGUGAGAAAUCCUUCACCCCCUCUCUCCCCCCCCCCCCCCACCUUCCCCCACUACCUGUGCCACGGUGCCACAACCCCUUCACUCCUUCGCUCCCUUCGCGCUCAGCAUGAAGACCCUUCUCUUGGUGAGUACAUUCUGAACUCC
Penaeus indicus is the source of this 734-nucleotide long non-coding RNA. RefSeq lists it as uncharacterized. The transcript is spliced from 3 exons. The record is from RefSeq and is a predicted model, not a curated record. NCBI's taxonomy places the organism in Eukaryota, Metazoa, Arthropoda, Malacostraca, Decapoda, Penaeidae.